UACGAAGGUGGCUAGCGUUGUUCGAAAUCAUUGGGCUUAAAGGGCGCGUAGGCGGAACAGAAAGUGUUUUGUGAAAUCCCACGGCUUAACCGUGGAACGGCAGGGCAAACUACUGUUCUUGAGGCAAAUAGGGGUGCAUGGAACUCUUGGUGGAGCGGUGGAAUGCGUAGAUAUCAAGAGGAACGCCGAAGGUGAAGACAGUGCACUGGAUUUGUCCUGACGCUGAGGCGCGAAAGCGUGGGGAGCAAACAGG
RNAcentral lists this ribosomal RNA (253 nucleotides) under uncultured bacterium. RNAcentral describes it as "partial 16S ribosomal RNA". It matches the Rfam family "Bacterial small subunit ribosomal RNA", at positions 524 to 776 of the family's 1533-position model. The record is from RNAcentral.